UGAGUCUAUAUCUACUUUUCACUCCUUUGUUAUAUAUGAAACCCAUAUUUUAUCUAUAUUUCAUUAAAUUUUGCUUUGAUUUUAUUAAUGAUAAUUUUCCAUCUGAAGCCACUCAUCUGAUCAAGUGAUAAUAGUUGUUUUCCGAUUAAGUACAGUAAGAACAACAUGAUGUUAUCAGCCAACAUAAUAUUCUAACUAGAAAAAUGAAAUGAUGGUCCAUUGUCUUUCAACUUCCGGAGGUCUCUUAGCUACAUCUCAUCUUAGGUAAACUCCCUCAGGCAAAGUUGGCUAUAGAUGGAUUUGGCUUUUAAAUUAAGUAAUUUUUGGUCAUAUAUAUAGCUCUUCAACUGAUUUGGUUCUUAUAAAUCCUUGGCUUUCUAAUAUCUGGCUUUGAGUGUUCCUGAGGAAGGCAAAUCCAGAAAAGCAAUUUGAAAGCAUGAAAUUUAUUGAAAAAAGUAUUGUUUUCAUUUUUGAGGGUUAUCGCUUUGAUGAGAUUGUAGCUGAGAAACUUCCUUUGCCUUUCAGAACCCUACUAAAAUUACAUUUUGUACUAAAAAGUGGCUUAUUGUACAAAAAAUGGCUCCAUGACAAUAUCUGCUUUGUUGUCAGAUACAAUUUAUUGUAUGUAGGUGCAUGUGGCAUUAAUCAGCUUUCAAUAUUGUGAAUUCUUAAUAAGGAAACUCAACUUUAACAUAAUAAGUCUUCAGGCCUCCAAAUAAAUCAAAAAUAAUAAUUUCAGUAUUAAAUCAGGGCAAAAAUUUAGAUUAUUAAUAUAAUAUUGUGUAUUUACUUUAAAUAGGAAAUAAAGAAUUGGAUAAAGGACACUU
RNAcentral lists this long non-coding RNA (827 nucleotides) under Mytilus galloprovincialis (Mediterranean mussel). The record is from RNAcentral. Lineage: Eukaryota; Metazoa; Mollusca; Bivalvia; Mytilida; Mytilidae.